RNAcentral lists this unclassified non-coding RNA (335 nucleotides) under Hevea brasiliensis (rubber tree). Lineage: Eukaryota; Viridiplantae; Streptophyta; Magnoliopsida; Malpighiales; Euphorbiaceae. The record is from RNAcentral.
CUUGCACGUAAUAAUUCAGUUAAGGAGCUCAGCAAAGGAGUUCAGAAGGAGAUGCAUGCAGGGAUUGCUGGCGUUGCACGAAUGAUUGAGCGGUUAGAUCUUACCUCAAAACGAACUGGAGCCUCCAGUCCAGUUUCUGAUUUGAGGCCAGGGGCAUCAGACUUCUCCUUGAAGGGAAAGGCCAUGCAAGAGAACAUUAUUGCUCAGGCACUAGAGAAAAGAAGUGAGGAAAUUGCACUUGCUACAAGCUUGGAUGUUUCUUCACAUGUCUCCUGCACUGUCCCAAGUCGACUGGAUGUUCUCCAUGUACAGAGAGGUCAUUGAUCCUGUGGAGA